ACAGAGGAAGGGAUAGAAUGCCUCAUUGGCAUUUGGGAGGACGAGCAUAAAUUGGAAAUGCUCGAUAACACGCACAAAAACUCCGAAGUAUUUAAGAUUUUCAGUGAGCACAUGAAGGAACAUGGCUUCCACCUGUUUACAUGGAUGUGGUGUUGGAGGCAUGGAGCAGUGUGGAACCGAAACAAGUGCUGUGAUGAAGACGCCGGGUGUAGCAACAGGAAGCGUGGAAUGUGACGCCACACACAGGGCUUUGUGGGAGAACAAGCGGCCAGGCUGGAGAAUCACCUGUUAUCCUUGAGGCGCCUCUGUGUGGAGGCUAGAAGGGCCACACAGGCCAGUGGGCCCCCGGGAGAAGAAGAGGGGGCAGCAUCCUGCCUCACGGUGAACUGGACAGAUUACAGCCUCAUGGCAGUGGAUGUGAAAGCAGAGGAGGUGAUUACAUGGCCAGUGUGGUGUGGCCGAGCGCGACCCCAUGAUAAAGUAAAUCCUCCAUGCAUGCACGGCGGCUGCUGCUGCCUUCAAAGGCGUGCUGAAUAUUCGGAUUGACUGCUCCAGCUCCACUGUUCCUGAAUGCGGUUUUGCCUCAGCGCCCGCUCUAAUGGCAGCACAAAGACAACAGCAGAGAGUGAAGAUGGAUUCAUAGUGCUGGAUAAACCACCGAAACCACUGCUCCACCAUUAAGUGCCUACACUGCAACCAGACCUCUCACACCUUGGCAACGAUCAGCACGGUGACGGCAGACGGAAGUGCAGUGUCAGCCGAUCAGGAUGUCCUUCAGCAGCGUAUUGUCACACGGGAAAGGAAGGUCAAAGCUGCUGACAGAGGAGGAAAAAAAACAGAUCACUUCAUUUACCAUUCCUACCUGAGGAGGAGAUCAAACUUCCGUCUGCAUGAUUGAGGAGUCAUGACUGGGUUCGAUCAAAGCCACAUCGCUGUAUCAACCAGAUUAGUGAGAAUCAAUAAUUUCUGGUGCUUUGAUGGUUUACCUGGCAAUGACA
This is a long non-coding RNA of Sphaeramia orbicularis (orbiculate cardinalfish), 998 nucleotides long. RefSeq lists it as uncharacterized. The record is from RefSeq and is a predicted model, not a curated record. The transcript is spliced from 4 exons. NCBI's taxonomy places the organism in Eukaryota, Metazoa, Chordata, Actinopteri, Kurtiformes, Apogonidae.